This 67-nucleotide transfer RNA is filed under the name bovine gut metagenome. It matches the Rfam family "tRNA". Rfam says of the family: Transfer RNA (tRNA) molecules are approximately 80 nucleotides in length. Their secondary structure includes four short double-helical elements and three loops (D, anti-codon, and T loops). The record is from RNAcentral.
ACAAUAGCUCAGUUGGCAGAGCGUUGGCUUCCCAAGCCGAAGGUCGCGGGUUCGAGCCCCGUUUGUC